GAUGAACGCUGGCGGCGUGCCUAAUACAUGCAAGUCGAGCGAAAAGACGAGGAGCUUGCUCCUCUGACGUUAGCGGCGGACGGGUGAGUAACACGUGGAUAACCUACUUAUAAGACUGGGAUAACUUCGGGAAACCGGAGCUAAUAACGGAUAAUAUAUUGAACCGCAUGGUUCAAUAGUGAAAGACGGUUUUGCUGUCACUUAUAGAUGGAUCCGCGCCGCAUUAGCUAGUUGGUAAGGUAACGGCUUACCAAGGCGACGAUGCGUAGCCGACCUGAGAGGGUGAUCGGCCACACUGGAACUGAGACACGGUCCAGACUCCUACGGGAGGCAGCAGUAGGGAAUCUUCCGCAAUGGGCGAAAGCCUGACGGAGCAACGCCGCGUGAGUGAUGAAGGUCUUCGGAUCGUAAAACUCUGUUAUUAGGGAAGAACAAAUGUGUAAGUAACUAUGCACGUCUUGACGGUACCUAAUCAGAAAGCCACGGCUAACUACGUG
Molecule: ribosomal RNA, 497 nt
Filed under: uncultured bacterium
Lineage: Bacteria
Description: partial 16S ribosomal RNA
Rfam family: Bacterial small subunit ribosomal RNA
Source: RNAcentral